Saimiri boliviensis boliviensis (Bolivian squirrel monkey) is the source of this 119-nucleotide ribosomal RNA. The record is from RefSeq and is a predicted model, not a curated record. NCBI's taxonomy places the organism in Eukaryota, Metazoa, Chordata, Mammalia, Primates, Cebidae.
GUCUACUGCCAUACCACACUGAACGCACCUGAUCUCGUCUGAUCUCGGAAGCGAAGCAGGGUUGGGCCUGGUUAGUACUUGGAUGGGAGAUCACAUGGGAAUAUCGGGUGCUGUAGGCU